UCGCUUUGGGAGGAGCUCGCUUACUAUCAGCUUGUUGGUAGGGUAACGGCCUACCAAGGCUAUGACGGUUAGGGGGUGUGAGAGCAUGACCCCCAGCAUUGGCACUGAAACACUGGCCAAACACCUACGGGUGGCUGCAGUCGAGAAUCUUCCACAAUGGGGGAAACCCUGAUGGAGCGAUGCUGCGUGCGGGAUGAAGGCCUUCGGGUUGUAAACCGCUUUUGUAGGGGACGAAAUUUUUGACGGUACCCUUUCGAAUAAGAGGUUGCUAACUCUGUGCCAGCAGCAGCGGUAAUACAGAGACCUCAAGCGUUAUCCGGAUUUACUGGGCGUAAAGCGUCUGUAGGGGGUUUAUUAAGUUCCAAGUAAAAUUUCAAGGCUCAACUUUGAAUUCGCUUGGAAAACUAAUAAACUGGAGUCUAGCAGAGGUGCAUGGAACUUGUGGUGUAGGAGUGAAAUCCGUUGAUAUCACAAGGAACACCAAAGGCGAAGGCAUUGCACUGGGCUAGCACUGACCCUGAGAGACGAAAGCGUGGGGAACAAAACGGAUUAGAUACCCGUGUAGUCCACGCCCUAAACGAUGAAUGCUAAAUGUUCGGGGAUUCGACCCCCUGGGUGUUACAGCUAACGCGUUAAGCAUUCCGCCUGGGAAGUACGGCCGCAAGGCUAAAACUCAAAGGAAUAGACGGGGAUCCGCACAAGCGGUGGAGCGUCUGGUUUAAUUCGACAGUAAGCGUGGUACCUCACCAGGGUUUGACAUCCCUUGACGGCCUUGGAAACAAGGUUUCCUUCGGGCAAGGUGACAGGUGCUGCAUGGUCGUCGUCAGUUCGUGCCGUGAGGUGUUCCGUUAAGUCGGGAAACGAACGAAACCCCUAUUGCAUGUUACAAUUUCUCAUGCAAGACUGCCCGGAUAUACUGGGAGGAAGGUGGGGAUGACGUCAGAUCUGCAUGGUCCUUAUACCCUGGGCGACACAGGCGCUACAAUGGCAGGGACAAAGGGUUGCAAAACCGCAAGGUGAAGCUAAUCCCAAAAACUUUGUCUAAGUUCGGAUUGAAGGCUGCAAUUCGCACUUCAUGAAGCUGGAAUCGCUAGUAAUCGUGAAUCAGCCACGUCACGGUGAAUAUGUUCCCGGAUCUUGUACUCACCGCCCGUCACACCAAGAGAGUUGGUAGCUCACCGAAGCGUCCCGUUUUAGCGGGGC
Molecule: ribosomal RNA, 1203 nt
Filed under: uncultured organism
Description: bacterial SSU rRNA
Rfam family: Bacterial small subunit ribosomal RNA
Source: RNAcentral